UAUGGGGUGCACAUGUUUUAUAAUAGUGUAAUCAUCAUGUUAUUUUGGUAUAUUGUGCACUGUCAGCCUUACAGAGCUUUGCAAUUUCAGUUUGUGUGUAUUUCUGAUAGAGUACACUGACAAAAAGAAAAUCUGACUUUGACUUUAAAGUCACAUGAUUUCAGGUAAACGAGAACUUACUGUUACACAGUACUUUCACUUUUCUUUUUGAGACCACUAUAAAAAGCAGCUCAGUUUAAUUCUAACCAGACCACACCAGGAGAGAAAAGAUAAGGACAGAGAGGAUGGAGAUGGAAAACUGUGACAAGUCAACAGAUGAAAAGGAGUCAGAAGUUAGGACUGUGCCAAAUGAAAAAGAUGGAUGAAGACAAAGAUGGUGUCGCCAGUGUUAGUGACCAGUCUGAAGAGACAACAGACACAGUUGUGCCUGAACUCACUCUUGUUGUAAUUGGUGACACAUCAUCAAUUAACACUGGACCAAACAACAUCUUAA
Long non-coding RNA from Betta splendens (Siamese fighting fish), 493 nucleotides. RefSeq lists it as uncharacterized. The record is from RefSeq and is a predicted model, not a curated record. NCBI's taxonomy places the organism in Eukaryota, Metazoa, Chordata, Actinopteri, Anabantiformes, Osphronemidae. The transcript has 4 exons.